AUGACUGUCAUUGAGAAUUACACAGAGGGAAGGGAAAAACUCACCCAAAGAGGGUUAUUUAAGAAGGCAGGGCCCCAGCCCACCCUGCGCGAGGUCCGGGCACCCCGCUGUCGUGUCCGGGGGGGGGGCGGGGGGGCCACCCCUGUACCUCGGUCCUCACCCCGCUGCACCCCCCAGGCCUGGAGCUCAGGCCCCCCCAUCCUCCCACCCCAGCUCCGCAGGAGAGGCCUGGGGUCCGGUGCUCGGCCUGGGAUACACCCCAAGGGGGGACGCUGGGGGCGGGGUGCACAGCGCGGACCUGGGGCCCAGCCCUGGAGGGGGCAGCCUGAGCUCCGCCCUGCAAAGCCACCUCUGGCCCGCAGCCUCCUGCCUCCGGGGGAAAUCAGCCCCAGGCACCCCCACCCCACAGGGCCGAGGGGGGAGGGGGCUGAACCCCCCACGCACGCUCCCCCCCGUGCACGUGUCUCCCCGCCCCACCCCCCACCUCCGCGAGCGCGGAGAGCCGGGUCCAGAACCUGGGACGCAGGCUCCGCGGAGCGCAUGCAGCGGGCCUUGGGCAAUCGCUGGGUCCCCGCCUCUGCCCUGCCCGGCAGCCCCAGGGCGCCCUCCCCCCCCCCCCCACCAGCAGAAGUGUUCUCCUUUGCAAGCACUUCGGAGCCCGAGCCCUGGAGCAGGGACAGCGCGGGAACCUGGGCUGCAGGGGCGGUGCGGGGGUGGGGGUGGACUUCCCUGGACGGAGACCUCCCCCCGACAGUCGCUGCUGCUGCUGCUCGCGGCCACCGAGCUCGGGGCUCUGGUGGAGGAGGACUGGGGCUCACAGCUCUGGAUUCCGUGGGGCGCAUUGGGUGCACCGGGCAGAGCCUGUCACCCGGGCCCCUGCGCUCCCGGUUAACCGCGCUGGGCCCACGCCCUGCACCCUUCCCCAGCACGAGGGGACCUUGGCCAACUCCUCGUCCGACACCCUCGGGCAGCAGGUGGGGAAGCAGGCCUGGAGCUCCCCAGUCCCUAAAGGCGCACUUCUGA
RNAcentral lists this long non-coding RNA (1023 nucleotides) under Canis lupus dingo (dingo). RNAcentral describes it as "lncRNA (ENSCAFG00020005764.1)". The record is from RNAcentral. Lineage: Eukaryota; Metazoa; Chordata; Mammalia; Carnivora; Canidae.